AUGUCCUCCAGCAGCAUCAUCGCCCUUGACGUCAGCUUCAACCGGCUAAAUGGAACGCUGCACGAGCUGCCGUCUUCGAUCACCACAGACCGGCCUCUGCAGGUACUCAACGUCUCAAGCAACCAGUUCAGCUUAGAACUUCCAUCAGCCACAUGGAAGAUGAUGAAGAAUCUAAACGCGUUCAACGCCAGCAAUAACAGCUUCACUGGGCACAUACCGUCUUCUCUUUGCCUUGGCUCGCCAUCUUUGGCUUUGCUUGACCUCUGUCACAACCAAUUGAGUGGCGACAUUCCGAACACAUUAGGUAAUUGCUCCAAGCUCAAAAUGCUCAAGGCCGGUAACAACCACCUAAGUGGGAUUCUCCCUGUUGAAAUCUUCCACACUACCUCGCUGGAGUACCUGUCCUUCCCCAACAAUGGUUUGCAAGGAGAACUUGAUGGAGAACAAAUGGUCAAACUCACUAAUCUAGCUACUCUUGACCUUGGAGGGAACCACAUCAGUGGCAACAUCCCAGAAUCGAUAGGUCAGCUCAGGAGGUUGGAGAAGCUUCAUUUGGGUAACAAUAACAUGUCUGGCGAGCUGCCAUCAACUCUUGGCAACUGCACAAAUCUCAAAACCAUCGAUCUGAAGAUCAACAACUUCAGUGGAGAUCUAAGCAAGGUAAACUUCUCAACCCUGCAGAAUCUAAGAAGUUUAGAUCUCAUGAGGAAUCGUCUCGGUGGCAUAGUGCCAGAAAGCAUUUACUCAUGCAGCAUGUUGACUGCACUGCGGCUGUCGGGCAACCAUUUCCAUGGUGAGAUAUCACCAAGAAUAGGCAAUCUGAAGCAUCUGUCCUUCCUAUCACUUGGUAGUAACUCCUUUACAAAUAUCAUGAAAGCUUUGCAUGCCCUUAAGAGCUGCAGGAACAUCAGCAAAAAUAAGUAA
Molecule: ribosomal RNA, 924 nt
Filed under: Triticum aestivum (bread wheat)
Lineage: Eukaryota; Viridiplantae; Streptophyta; Magnoliopsida; Poales; Poaceae
Description: partial small subunit ribosomal RNA
Source: RNAcentral